Molecule: ribosomal RNA, 3026 nt
Filed under: Parcubacteria group bacterium GW2011_GWA2_47_9
Lineage: Bacteria
Description: bacterial LSU rRNA
Rfam family: Bacterial large subunit ribosomal RNA
Source: RNAcentral
GGACGGUGGAUGCCUUGGGAUAUCGAGGCGAUGAAGGACGUGGCGUGCCUGCGAUAAGCUUGGGUGAGGUGGCGAGCAACCUUUGACCCCAAGAUUUCCGAAUGCGUAAACGCGGUUCCGUAAAACGGAAUCACCCGGGCCCAUAAGGGCUUAGGGAGCAAACCCGCUGAAGCGAAACAUCAUAGUAAGCGGAGGAAAAGAAAACACAAUCCUACGCUAAAGCUUCGGAAUUGCAAGUCACUUGUGGUUCCGUAGCCUUGGCGAAGGACCAUUCCCUUAGUAGCGGCGAGCGAAGAGGGAACAGCCCAAACCUAUCUUUUGCUUUGUAAAAGAUAGGGGUUGUAAGACUGUAUCGUCUGGAGCUUUCUUUAGUGUUCCGCGGCGAAUUUAUUCGUUGCGGGAUAUUAAGAAGGAACCGGAGGGAGAACAUUUAGAUAAAGGUUGGUUAGGGGAAAUACCCUGGAAAGGGGUACCAAAGAGGGUAAUAGUCCCGUACCUAAAAAUCCCUUUAUGCUCCUUGAUACUUUUCUUGAGUACCUCGAGGCGAAGAUAACCUUGAGGGAAACAGGCCGGACUAUAGGCCAAGGCUAAAUACUACGAUAUCACCGAUAGUGCACCAGUACCGUGAGGGAAAGGUGAAAAGCAGCCCGAUGAGGGCGGUGAAAUAGAACCUGAAACCGUCACACCCACAAGGAGUCGGAGCCGUCCUUCGCUUUUUGCGUCGCAAAAAGCUUCGGAGCGGUAAACCCCCCGAAUAAAAAUCGUGGGCUUUGCCAAUCCGUAGCUCUUUGUGGAAUAAAGAGCGGAGGAUGGUGACGGCGUGCCUAUUGAAGAAUGAGCCAACGACUUUCUCGUCUAACUUUGUCUAAUCCCGUUUCGGGAGGAGGCUCAGCGAAAGCGAGCGUUAAAAGCGCGCAAUAUUAAGUUAGGCGAGAAGACCCGAAGCCAAGCGAGCUUGCCAUGGCCAGGAUGAAUUCCCGGCGCUUCGUUUUGUUAGGUGGGGGUAGAGCACUGAAUGGAUUACCGUGGCAUUUUUGUCAGGUAGUUCAAUCAAACUCCGAAUACCGCCGAACUUAUAACGAGGCAGUAAGACUGUGGGGGCUAAGCUCCAUAGUCAAAAGGGAAACAGCCCAGAUCUUCAUCUAAGGUCCCUAAACCGGGCUCAGUGUGAAAGGAAGUGGAAUUCCUCAGAUAGCUAGGAGGUUCGCUUAGAAGCAGCUAUCCUCUAAAAAGUGCGUAAUAGCUUACUAGCUAAGGAAUUCUGCGCCGAAGAUUUACCGGGGCUUAAGCUCGGUACCGAAGAUAAGGACUAUGUUGACUUCGGUUAACGUAGUGGUAGGGGAGCGUUUUCAGCGCGAUGAAGCUUCGUUGUGAAGCGGAGUGGAGCGCUGAGAAGUGAGAAUGUUGGCAUGAGUAACCACAAGGCAGGUGAAAUCCCUGCCCACCGUAAGCCCAAGGUUUCCUUCGCAAUGACCGUCAGCGAAGGGUGAGGCGACCCUUAGUCCGCAACCGAAAGGUUGGGAUGAUGGACAGCCGGUUAAUAUUCCGGCCCUUCCGUUCAUUUCCGAAACAGCGACGCAGUGGAGUAGUUGAGAGGGAUUAUCGGAUUUCCCAUCCCGCUUCGGCGGGAGUUCUCAAUGAAUUCGUUGCCUAGAAAAACUGUUAGGGUUAAAUGGGCGGAAUUCGUACCGCAAACCGACACAGGUGGGCUGGCGUAAGUGCGCCAAGGUGAACGGGUGAAACCUCGUUAAGGAACUCGGCAAAAAAGCAGCUGUAAGUUCGCAAUAAAGCUUGCCCUGCCCGCGAGGGUUAGGGCCGCAGCUAAAGUCUCUCUGGCGACUGUUUAUCAAAAACACAGGUCCCUGCUUAACUCGUAAGAGGAUGUAUAGGGGCUGACGCCUGACCAGUGCUGGAAUGUUAAAGGCGGCGGUCGUCCUUCGCUCUUUGCUUCACAAAGAGCUUCGGAACGACAAGUUUUUCUGUAUUUUAGAAAAGCUUGCCAUUCCGUAGCUCCGAACGGAGCAAGGAGCGGAGGAUGGCUGACUGCCCGAAGCACCAGUGAACGUCCGCGAUAACUAUAAUCGUGUUAAAGUAGCGUAAUCCCUUGCCGGGUAAGUUCCGGCCCGCAUGAAAGGCGUAACGACUGGAGAACUGUCUCAACGAGGCGCCCGGUGAAAAUGCAGCACCGGUAAAGAUGCCGGUUUCCUGCGGCUAGACGGAAAGACCCCGGAAGCUUUACUGUAGGGUGGUAUUGAGCCCUGGGUUUAGAUGCGUAGCGUAGCGGGUAGGCUUUGAAGUUCGUCUUUUGGGGCGAAUGGAGCCGCCAAUGAAACACCCGUCUUUUAAAUUCUUAGUUCUAACUCCGCCUGAAAUGGCGGAAAACAGUGCCACUUGGGCAGUUUUAGUGGGGCGCUAGCCUCCUAAAAGGUAACGGAGGCGUUUAUAAGGUCGGCUAAGGCCGGAUGGAAAUCGGCCGUGUCGGGUAAAGCCACAAGCCGGCUUAACUGCAAGGCGGAUAUGCCGCGCAGAUGCGAAAGCAGAACUUAGUGAACCGACCCUUUGUCGUAGAAAAGGGGAAGAUCAUCAACCAAAAGCUACUCCGGGGAUAACAGGCUAGUAGGGCCCGCGAGUCCACAUCAACGGCUCUGUUCGGCACCUCGAUGUCGGCUCAUCACAUCCUGGGGGUGGAGAAGCUCCCAAGGGUUUGGCUGUUCGCCAAUUAAAGUGGUACGUGAGCUGGGUUCAAACCGUCGUGAGACAGGUUGGUCCCUUUCUACCGCAGGCAUUGAGUCUUGAGGGGAGUCGUUCCUAGUACGAGAGGACCGGAACGAACUGACCUCUGGUGUACCUGCUGUCCUGCCAAGGGCAUUGCAGGGUAGCUAAGUCGGGCCAGGAUAAGAGCUGAAAGCAUCUAAGCUCGAAGCCAACCCCAAGAUUAGGACUCUUAGGUCGGUCAGAGAACAUGACCUCAUAGGGCGCAGGUGGAAGCGCGGUAACGCGUUAAGCCGAGCGCUCCUAAUCGACCA